Molecule: ribosomal RNA, 497 nt
Filed under: uncultured bacterium
Lineage: Bacteria
Description: partial 16S ribosomal RNA
Rfam family: Bacterial small subunit ribosomal RNA
Source: RNAcentral
GAUGAACGCUGGCGGCGUGCCUAAUACAUGCAAGUCGAGCGAACAGACGAGGAGCUUGCUCCUCUGACGUUAGCGGCGGACGGGUGAGUAACACGUGGAUAACCUACCUAUAAGACUGGGAUAACUUCGGGAAACCGGAGCUAAUACCGGAUAAUAUAUUGAACCGCAUGGUUCAAUAGUGAAAGACGGUUUUGCUGUCACUUAUAGAUGGAUCCGCGCCGCAAUAGCUAGUUGGUAAGGUAACGGCUUACCAAGGCAACGAUGCGUAGCCGACCUGAGAGGGUGAUCGGCCACACUGGAACUGAGACACGGUCCAGACUCCUACGGGAGGCAGCAGUAGGGAAUCUUCCGCAAUGGGCGAAAGCCUGACGGAGCAACGCCGCGUGAGUGAUGAAGGUCUUCGGAUCGUAAAACUCUGUUAUUAGGGAAGAACAAAUGUGUAAGUAACUAUGCACGUCUUGACGGUACCUAAUCAGAAAGCCACGGCUAACUACGUG